Pelobates cultripes (western spadefoot toad) is the source of this 247-nucleotide non-coding RNA. NCBI's taxonomy places the organism in Eukaryota, Metazoa, Chordata, Amphibia, Anura, Pelobatidae. The record is from the annotation of a GenBank genome assembly.
GCGGCAGUGUGUACCCCAGGAAGCAGAGACCGUCUGUCUCGCACCCCAGCCGCAGAACAAAAUAUUGAAAGGGGAGACAGUUGGUCCCCCUCUCCACCAGCAAAGAGAGUGUCAGGGAGAGGAGCAGGUUACCCCCUCUCCCCAGCGGCAGUCUACAGUUCAGAGAGAGGAGCUUGUUACACCCUCUCUCCAGCGGUAGCCUAACCCACCAAGGGGAGAUGUUAAGCCCCACAACUGUGCAGAUGGG